Molecule: non-coding RNA, 25 nt
Filed under: Mus musculus (house mouse)
Lineage: Eukaryota; Metazoa; Chordata; Mammalia; Rodentia; Muridae
Source: RNAcentral
UAAAAUGAUUACGAAGGCUUUUCUC